UUGAUCAACACAAAUAAUCGAGAAAAUUUUAAUAAUGAGUUUAGUAGUGCAACAGCCAAUAUGGUUGACCUGUUGACUUUGUUUACGUUUUGACGAGCCGCAGCUGUUCAGAUCAACUGAAUUUGGAAGGUGGAUGUGGUCUUUGGAAAUUGGAGUUCCACAUAUGUCCAAAAUUCCGACUGUUUUCCACAGAUAGACUGUUUCAGAAGAAGAGUUAAUUCCAAAGUGUUCAGAUACACUGACACAAUUCCCAGGGAUUGAUUCCGACUCAUCGAACGUCUCUAACUUGACGAUUACCAUCACUAUCGCAAAUCAAAACAAAACAAAAGUGUAGUUACAUCAAAAACUGAGAAAAGUUGACAAAAUUGAUGGCUUGGGUGUAAUUGCCACGACGCACCCACCCUUCCUUGGAUGCCCCAAAGCUAAUGUUGGAGGCACACCCCAUCUCCGGCAGACCGGAGUCUAUUCCUGGUGGAUUAGGAUCGGCUCAUCUCCCCGCCCAAGCAACACUUAAGGCCGAUCACAGAACGUCGCCCAGAUGAGAAGUUGAAGAAGAAUUUAGACGUUGUUGGUCGCGCGGCUAGGGUGCGGAAUUAAGCCUCUAAUUCCAGAUUAUAUGAGUAUUUGAAAAAAUGUUGAAAGUACGAUUUCAUUAAUUAAUAACUACAACUUAUUUAUUGCAGAGUUGAACGAUGGUUAUAGUCGAGCCUGGUCGAAGCUGCAGCAAGAAGAAAACACCGCUAGCGGCGAAAACCGGCGCGAGUGCGCACAGAGCCAAAUGGUCCGAAGGGUAGCUCGCGUUUGCGCCAGAGGAGCCGGAGACAGUGCGUCGGUGGUCCCAGAGAUGACCACGUAGUCAGCGCGGGUAUUCGUUCCCGGAACGGACUCAUCGAGGGAAUCUCCGUAUGUGGCCGCCUCGUAGGCAGUUGCUGGAGGCUGCCGAUGCUGCUGCUGCUGACGCUGCUGCUGCUGCCGAUGCUGCUGCUGAUGCUGCUGCGGCUGAUGCUGCUGCUGAUCGCUGCUGCUUCUGCGGCUGAUGCUACUGCUGAUGCUGAUCGCUGCUGCUUUUGCGGCUAAUGCUGCUGCUGAUGCUGAUCGCUGCUGCUUCUGCGGCUGAUGCUGCUGAUGAUGCUGAUCGCUGCUGCAGCUGGUGAACGACCAGGUUAGCUAAGUAUUUUGCCCUCCCGCGUCAUCCAAAUUUCCGGGGCCCUUUCGAAAGGGUCCCCGGCGGCUUUAAUAUUUUUAAAAACCACUGUUAUUUAUAAGUUUAUGACCAAUAAAUAACUACUCACUUCAA
Molecule: long non-coding RNA, 1297 nt
Organism: Drosophila gunungcola (fruit fly)
Lineage: Eukaryota; Metazoa; Arthropoda; Insecta; Diptera; Drosophilidae
Exons: 4
Source: RefSeq, a predicted model, not a curated record